Molecule: ribosomal RNA, 492 nt
Filed under: uncultured bacterium
Lineage: Bacteria
Description: partial 16S ribosomal RNA
Rfam family: Bacterial small subunit ribosomal RNA
Source: RNAcentral
AGUGAACGCUGGCGGUAGGCCUAACACAUGCAAGUCGAACGGCAGCACAGUAAGAGCUUGCUCUUACGGGUGGCGAGUGGCGGACGGGUGAGGAAUACAUCGGAAUCUACUUUUUCGUGGGGGAUAACGUAGGGAAACUUACGCUAAUACCGCAUACGACCUACGGGUGAAAGCAGGGGAUCUUCGGACCUUGCGCGAUUGUAUGAGCCGAUGUCGGAUUAGCUAGUUGGCGGGGUAAAGGCCCACCAAGGCGACGAUCCGUAGCUGGUCUGAGAGGAUGAUCAGCCACACUGGAACUGAGACACGGUCCAGACUCCUACGGGAGGCAGCAGUGGGGAAUAUUGGACAAUGGGCGCAAGCCUGAUCCAGCCAUACCGCGUGAGUGAAGAAGGCCUUCGGGUUGUAAAGCCCUUUUGUUGGGAAAGAAAAGCAGCAGGUUAAUACCCCGCUGUUCUGACGGUACCCAAAGAAUAAGCACCGGCUAACUUCGUG